UACGUAGGGUGCGAGCGUUGGCCGGAAUUAUUGGGCGUAAAGAGCUUGUAGGCGGUUUGUCGCGUCUGCUGUGAAAAUCCGGGGCUCAACCCCGGACUUGCAGUGGGUACGGGCAGGCUAGAGUGUGGUAGGGGAGACUGGAAUUCCUGGUGUAGCGGUGAAAUGCGCAGAUAUCAGGAGGAACACCGAUGGCGAAGGCAGGUCUCUGGGCCACUACUGACGCUGAGAAGCGAAAGCAUGGGGAGCGAACAGG
RNAcentral lists this ribosomal RNA (253 nucleotides) under uncultured bacterium. Its description in RNAcentral is "partial 16S ribosomal RNA". It matches the Rfam family "Bacterial small subunit ribosomal RNA", at positions 524 to 776 of the family's 1533-position model. The record is from RNAcentral.